AGGGUUUGACAUGCACGGAUUAGCCGUUGGAAACUUCGGUAACGCCCUUUGGGUGGAACGUGCACAGGUGCUGCAUGGCUGUCGUCAGCUCGUGCUGUGAAGUGUCGGGUUAAGUCCCUUAACGAGCGCAACCCCUGUCGCUAGUUGCCAGCGCGUCAUGGCGGGGACUCUAGCGAGACUGCCGGUGUCAAACCGGAGGAAGGUGGGGAUGACGUCAAGUCCUCAUGGCCCUUAUGUCCUGGGAUGCAAACGUGCUACAAUGGCGCGUACAAUGCGAUGCGAGGCCGCAAGGCGGAGCAAAUCGCAAAAAGCGCGCCCCAGUUCGGAUUGCAGGCUGCAACUCGCCUGCAUGAAGU
RNAcentral lists this ribosomal RNA (356 nucleotides) under uncultured bacterium. Its description in RNAcentral is "bacterial SSU rRNA". It matches the Rfam family "Bacterial small subunit ribosomal RNA", at positions 976 to 1326 of the family's 1533-position model. The record is from RNAcentral.